ACUCAAAUGAAUUGACGGGGACCCGCACAACCGGUGGAGCGUGUGGUUCAAUUCGAGACAAAGCGAAAGACCUUACCAGGUCUUGACAUGCUACCGUACAGACACCUGGAAACAGGAGUUAAUCCGCAAGGAUGGUAGCACAGCUGCUGCAUGGCUGUCGUCAGCUCGUGCCGUGGGGUGUUCCCUUAAGUGGGAGAACGAGCGCAACCCGUAUCCAAUGUUAUAUGUUUCAUUGGGGACUGCCCCGUCCUUGAGCACAGAACUUUUUCUGUGUUGAAGGACGGGGAGGAAGGAACGGACGACGUCAAGUCAGCACGGCGCUUAUGACCUGGGUCACACACACCCUACAAUGGCGAAAAACAAUGGGAAGCUAAACCGUAAGGUCGAGCAAAUCCUCUGCAAAUUUCGCCUCAGUUCAGAUUGGGGUCUGCAACCCGACCCCAUGAAGUCGGAAUCGGUAGUAAUCGCAGAUCAGAAGGCUGCGGUGAAUACGUUCUCGGGUCUUGUACACACCGCCCGU
This 520-nucleotide ribosomal RNA is filed under the name uncultured bacterium. Its description in RNAcentral is "partial 16S ribosomal RNA". It matches the Rfam family "Bacterial small subunit ribosomal RNA", at positions 899 to 1397 of the family's 1533-position model. The record is from RNAcentral.